AUUAACGUACGAGGAUUUCAGAAAUUUCUAAGUAAUGUCGAAGGGGUGAAUUCUUUGGCAAGCUAUUUGAAAACAAAACGGCGGAAAGACGAGUUGAGGAUUUAAGAGAACGAGGUUGAGCGGUGACGAGCGCGGUGGGUGUUGAGCAUAAAAGUGAAGAAUGUCUAUCA
Long non-coding RNA from Salvia splendens (bonfire salvia), 170 nucleotides. RefSeq lists it as uncharacterized. NCBI's taxonomy places the organism in Eukaryota, Viridiplantae, Streptophyta, Magnoliopsida, Lamiales, Lamiaceae. The transcript has 3 exons. The record is from RefSeq and is a predicted model, not a curated record.